AAUUGACUGUGUUAUCAAUAGAGAGUGAUACAUUAUACAGUGACACAUAAAAGUGCGUCAUUUUGUAACGACUAAAAUGGAUUUACAAGGGCAUUUUGAACGUCCAGAAAUUAUCAACAACCCUAUAUACCAACUUUUAUUAAAUUCAGCUGAUGGCAAAAGUGUUUUAAAAUAUUAUCGAGAUAAUGAAUGCUUGAAGAAAACCUUAAGAAAUUUACUCAGCAGACUUAUACUCAGCCCUGAAAAAGAUAGACAAUUAGAAACAGUUCUCUAAGUGCCAUAAAGAUGGCACUUAGAUAAUAUUAUAGUUUGUAGCAAUAUUAAAGUAUGUCUUAUUGUUAAAAAAUUAAUAAGUACAUUCCUCUACGAAAAAAACUGAAUGUUAUCGAUUGUACAACGAUCAGUAUACGUGGGAUGUACUAAAUUUGGAUGACCUAUUUAGCUUUAAGAUUACGAAUCUUGAAAGAGCAUCUAAUGGUGCGAAAUUUAUUCUCAAAAAUUGGUUUUAAUUUGAAUAAAGAUAUAUUUAAUAAUUCAUAAAA
Long non-coding RNA from Chelonus insularis, 542 nucleotides. RefSeq lists it as uncharacterized. Lineage: Eukaryota; Metazoa; Arthropoda; Insecta; Hymenoptera; Braconidae. The record is from RefSeq and is a predicted model, not a curated record. The transcript is spliced from 4 exons.